CUACGGGCUGCUCCAGUGGGGAAUAUUGGACAAUGGGGGAAACCCUGAUCCAGCAAUGCCGCGUGUGUGAAGAAGGCCUGCGGGUUGUAAAGCACUUUCGGUUGGGAGGACUGCUUCUAGCACUAAUAUUGUUGGAAGUUGACGUUACCUUCAGAAGAAGCACCGGCUAACUCCGUGCCAGCAGCCGCGAUAAUACGGAGGGUGCAAGCGUUAAUCGGAAUUACUGGGCGUAAAGCGCGCGUAGGCGGCUAGAUCAGUCGGGUGUGAAAGCCCCGGGCUUAACCUGGGAACUGCAUCCGAUACUGUCUAGCUUGAGUACAGGAGAGGAGAGUGGAAUUCCACAUGUAGCGAUGAAAUGCGUAGAUAUGUGGAGGAACACCAAUGGCGAAGGCAGCUCUCUGGCCUGAUACUGACGCUGAGGUGCGAAAGCGUGGGGAGCAAACAGGAUUAGAUACCCUCGUAGUC
Molecule: ribosomal RNA, 465 nt
Filed under: uncultured bacterium
Lineage: Bacteria
Description: partial 16S ribosomal RNA
Rfam family: Bacterial small subunit ribosomal RNA
Source: RNAcentral